This 279-nucleotide ribosomal RNA is filed under the name uncultured bacterium. Its description in RNAcentral is "partial 16S ribosomal RNA". It matches the Rfam family "Bacterial small subunit ribosomal RNA", at positions 506 to 784 of the family's 1533-position model. The record is from RNAcentral.
UGCCAGCCGCCGCGGUAAUACGGAGGAUCCAAGCGUUAUCCGGAAUCAUUGGGUUUAAAGGGUCCGUAGGUGGAUAAUUAAGUCAGAGGUGAAAGUUUGCAGCUCAACUGUAAAAUUGCCUUUGAUACUGGUUAUCUUGAAUCAUUAUGAAGUAGUUAGAAUAUGUAGUGUAGCGGUGAAAUGCAUAGAUAUUACAUAGAAUACCAAUUGCGAAGGCAGAUUACUAAUAAUCGAUUGACACUGAUGGACGAAAGCGUAGGUAGCGAACGGGAUUAGAUA